Molecule: long non-coding RNA, 341 nt
Filed under: Naja naja (Indian cobra)
Lineage: Eukaryota; Metazoa; Chordata; Lepidosauria; Squamata; Elapidae
Description: lncRNA (ENSNNAG00000001277.1)
Source: RNAcentral
AAUCUAAAAACAUACUUAUCUAGGCUGCUUUUCAGACGAAAAGAAAAUUAUAGAACUUGGUUGUCAUGAUGGGCUUGGCUGAAGAAGAAAUAAAAGCAGAGCAGGACGUAGUGGAAGGGAUGGAUAUCUCCACUCGAUCCAAAGUAUGCCAUCUCAAUACACUUCUGACAGCAAGAACACCUGAGCUUGGAAUUCUUGUGAAGCAGAAUGGCAUUUCUUUAAAUUUGUGCUCACUUGAACUAUUUAUCGUCUCAAGCCUCCUAGUUACUGUCUUUCAAUUAAUAUUGUCUAUUUUAAAAGUUUGUUUUGUAUUUCCAUUAAAAGUGUUAUAUUCAGUUACU